RNAcentral lists this ribosomal RNA (465 nucleotides) under uncultured bacterium. RNAcentral describes it as "partial 16S ribosomal RNA". It matches the Rfam family "Bacterial small subunit ribosomal RNA", at positions 28 to 507 of the family's 1533-position model. The record is from RNAcentral.
GACGAACGCUGGCGGCGUGCUUAACACAUGCAAGUCGAACGGAAAGGCCCUGCUUGCAGGGUACUCGAGUGGCGAACGGGUGAGUAACACGUGGGUGAUCUGCCCUGCACUUCGGGAUAAGCUUGGGAAACUGGGUCUAAUACCGGAUAGGAGCCAUCUUUAGUGUGGUGGUUGGAAAGUUUUUUCGGUGUAGGAUGAGCUCGCGGCCUAUCAGCUUGUUGGUGGGGUAAUGGCCUACCAAGGCGGCGACGGGUAGCCGGCCUGAGAGGGUGUACGGCCACAUUGGGACUGAGAUACGGCCCAGACUCCUACGGGAGGCAGCAGUGGGGAAUAUUGCACAAUGGGCGCAAGCCUGAUGCAGCGACGCCGCGUGGGGGAGGAAGGCCUUCGGGUUGUAAACUCCUUUCGCUAGGGACGAAGCUUUUUGUGACGGUACCUAGAGAAGAAGCACCGGCUAACUACGUG